CCUACGGGAGGCUGCAGUGGGGAAUAUUGGACGAUGGGGGGAACCCUGAUCCAGCCAUGCCGCGUGUGUGAAGAAGGCCCUCGGGUUGUAAAGCACUUUCAGUGAGGAAGAACGCCUGGUGGUUAAUACCCAUCAGGAAAGACAUCACUCACAGAAGAAGCACCGGCUAACUCCGUGCCAGCAGCCGCGGUAAUACGGAGGGUGCGAGCGUUAAUCGGAAUUACUGGGCGUAAAGCGCGCGUAGGUGGCUUGAUAAGCCGGUUGUGAAAGCCCCGGGCUCAACCUGGGAACGGCAUCCGGAACUGUCAAGCUAGAGUGCAGGAGAGGAAGGUAGAAUUCCCGGUGUAGCGGUGAAAUGCGUAGAGAUCGGGAGGAAUACCAGUGGCGAAGGCGGCCUUCUGGACUGACACUGACACUGAGGUGCGAAAGCGUGGGUAGCAAACAGGAUUAGAUACCCGUGUAGUC
This 465-nucleotide ribosomal RNA is filed under the name Vreelandella stevensii. Its description in RNAcentral is "partial 16S ribosomal RNA". It matches the Rfam family "Bacterial small subunit ribosomal RNA", at positions 338 to 795 of the family's 1533-position model. Lineage: Bacteria; Pseudomonadati; Pseudomonadota; Gammaproteobacteria; Oceanospirillales; Halomonadaceae. The record is from RNAcentral.